GUCUUUUUGCAGUUCAUAAGCAAGAUGAGUGGGUGUUCAUGCCCGUGUGUGAGAUGUGCCUCCCUCAAACCUUGUUAAGAUGUCAGCACAUUAGCUGUCUGACA
Molecule: small nucleolar RNA, 104 nt
Organism: Macaca fascicularis (crab-eating macaque)
Lineage: Eukaryota; Metazoa; Chordata; Mammalia; Primates; Cercopithecidae
Source: Ensembl